RNAcentral lists this ribosomal RNA (253 nucleotides) under uncultured bacterium. RNAcentral describes it as "partial 16S ribosomal RNA". It matches the Rfam family "Bacterial small subunit ribosomal RNA", at positions 524 to 776 of the family's 1533-position model. The record is from RNAcentral.
UACGGAGGGGGCUAGCGUUGUUCGGAAUUACUGGGCGUAAAGAGCGUGUAGGCGGCUAGGUAGGUCCGUUGUGAAAACUCGAGGCUCAACCUCGAGACGUCGAUGGAAACCAUCUAGCUAGAGUCCGGAAGAGGAGAGUGGAAUUCCUGGUGUAGCGGCGAAAUGCGCAGAUAUCAGGAAGAACACCCGUGGCGAAGGCGGCUCUCUGGUACGUGACUGACGCUGAGACGCGAAAGCGUGGGGAGCGAACAGG